GUUUGUUCGCGUUGCUUGAAAUUCCCAAAAAGUUCUGCACUGAAAACGAGAUAAAUAUAUAUUCGGAUGUUGAAGAGAGUGAAAGCAAAGAUGCUGAGUGCAAAAAAUUCAAGCAACGCGAGCAAACUUAAUAUCGGGUGCACCUGGGUGGGAAAUCGGAACACAAAACACAACCUGAACAUGAACUGUAGAUUUCCAGUACUGGCAGUGAAUUUUGGAACACAGCCGAUAUUAAUCUAACCUAACCUAACCUAAUUCUAGCUGAGUUUAACUUAACCUAAUCGUAUUUCUAUUCUGAACGUAAUGAGAAAGUUGGAUUUCAAACUGAAUACCGUUUUCUUUAAAAUUCGUGUAAAAUUCAACGGUUUGAUUAAAAGAAUGAUAACAUACAGGUCAACAUACUAUUAACAUAAGGCCAAUGAAUUCGAACUGAACGUAUAUAUAAUACGAAUCGCAAAAAAUUGCUCACAUGAAGAGAAUUAAAAUCCUAACCUUGUAUUACACGAGCAUGAUGAAACGACGUCUUCCCGCGAUUGUCGCAUGAGAGAUAAACUAUUACGAAAGGAAUUUGGAUGAAAUGCGAAUGUAGGCAUAUCCUUUUGCGCUCAAGAUAAUUGAAAAUGUUUCGAAGUCGAAGCUGGUUCGGUGGCGGACUUUGGAAGCCUAAAAAUCCCCAUUCCCCGGAGCAUCUCAAGUAUUUGUAUAAUGUGCUGUCAAAAAAUCAGACUGUGUCUGAAAACAACAGAGGUUUACUGGUUGAAACUCUGCGUUCGAUAGCUGAAAUUCUCAUAUGGGGUGAUCAAAAUGAUAGCAGUGUAUUCGA
Long non-coding RNA from Formica exsecta, 823 nucleotides. RefSeq lists it as uncharacterized. NCBI's taxonomy places the organism in Eukaryota, Metazoa, Arthropoda, Insecta, Hymenoptera, Formicidae. The transcript is spliced from 3 exons. The record is from RefSeq and is a predicted model, not a curated record.